This is a non-coding RNA of Zootermopsis nevadensis, 344 nucleotides long. The record is from RefSeq and is a predicted model, not a curated record. NCBI's taxonomy places the organism in Eukaryota, Metazoa, Arthropoda, Insecta, Blattodea, Termopsidae.
GCAGGUGUGGUGAAUGUUGUGGUUCUUUGUUCUCGUGUUUUGUUGAAAAUUGUAGUGUGAGACUGUAACAAAGUGUGAGGUGAUAAGUGUUGUGGUUUAUUAUAAUCAAUGUGUUGGUGAAAUAAUUAAAAUAUGAAGUUAAAGUGUUGUGAGAAAAUGUUUGACCAGUUGUUCAGGAAUGACGUCACAGACAGCGUGUGGUGGUUCGUUGGCUGACGGUGAGUUACCUGCCUUACGCCUUCGGAAGAACAAAGCUGAAGAGUUUCUACUCAGGCCGUCCAGUUAUGGAGGCAGCCAUGGUUCUUGACGCUAGGGAAACUCUGGCGUUGGAUUCAGCCCGCAGA